UUACUUACCUGGCAGGGGAGAUAUGGUCACUGAGGUGGUUUUCCUAGGAUAAAGUUCAUUCAUUGCACUCUGGAUGUGCUGACCCCUGUAAUUUCCCCAACUGUGGGAAAUUCAACUGCAUAAUUUGUGAUAGGGAGACUGUGUGGCACUUUCCCCUG
This is a small nuclear RNA of Callithrix jacchus (white-tufted-ear marmoset), 158 nucleotides long. Its record names the gene U1. It matches the Rfam family "U1 spliceosomal RNA". From Rfam's summary of the family: U1 is a small nuclear RNA (snRNA) component of the spliceosome (involved in pre-mRNA splicing). Its 5' end forms complementary base pairs with the 5' splice junction, thus defining the 5' donor site of an intron. There are significant differences in sequence and secondary structure between metazoan and yeast U1 snRNAs, the latter being much longer (568 nucleotides as compared to 164 nucleotides in human). The record is from Ensembl. Lineage: Eukaryota; Metazoa; Chordata; Mammalia; Primates; Cebidae.